CUGUCUUUGACUUCAGGGAAUAGGGUGGUCAAUACACUGCAGAUCUAAUGAGAGUGACAGACAGAAACAUGGCUAGAAAAUAAGAGAAUCAGUACAACUACCAGCUAAAGAAGGGAAUAAAAAGAAGCCAGGCAGUGAUUGAGUGACUGUGUUCUUUAUAAUCGUGAGAGAUAUACAAACGAGAAAAACAAACAGAAAAAAACUAAAAAGGAGGUGGAGGGGAUGUGGAGGGGAUAUGGAGGGGAUAUGGAGGGGAUGUGGAGGGGAUAUGGAGGGGAUAUGGAGGGA
Molecule: long non-coding RNA, 288 nt
Organism: Oncorhynchus tshawytscha (Chinook salmon)
Lineage: Eukaryota; Metazoa; Chordata; Actinopteri; Salmoniformes; Salmonidae
Source: Ensembl